RNAcentral lists this long non-coding RNA (426 nucleotides) under Elaeis guineensis (African oil palm). Its description in RNAcentral is "long non-coding RNA (EGUI_LNC046994)". Lineage: Eukaryota; Viridiplantae; Streptophyta; Magnoliopsida; Arecales; Arecaceae. The record is from RNAcentral.
UGCUCAUGAAUUGAGUUUUUGGGUUAGGAGUUAAGUUUGAAGUAAUGGGUGCUGAAAGGGUGUCUUUUGAUUUUAAACAUGUGUACUCAGAUGUGACCAAGGAUAAUUUCAAUUCUAGAGGAGGUAAUUUUAAAGUGGAAGAAUCGACUUCUGGGGCUGAAGGGAAUGGAACUUUUGAUGAAUAUAGCUUGGGUAACUCAUCCACUCUCUUCUUUUCUUCACUUAGAUCAGCAUCAGUACUAAGCUCAAGUUCUUCUAUUGGGUUAGCUUCAGUACUAACCUUUUCUUCUAAAUUCACAUUUUGGCUAGCAUCAAUACUAGCCUCACUCACCUGAUCUUGGUAUAGGUCAUUAAGAAUCUUUUCACUUUUAAGCUCAGAAAUUGCAUUGUCACUUUCAAAUUGGAGAUUCUUAGGUGGGACAUUGG